This 157-nucleotide ribosomal RNA is filed under the name Cryptosporidium parvum. RNAcentral describes it as "partial small subunit ribosomal RNA". It matches the Rfam family "Eukaryotic small subunit ribosomal RNA", at positions 477 to 634 of the family's 1831-position model. The record is from RNAcentral. Lineage: Eukaryota; Apicomplexa; Conoidasida; Eucoccidiorida; Cryptosporidiidae.
AUAACAAUACAGGGCUUUUUGGUUUUGUAAUUGGAAUGAGUUAAGUAUAAACCCCUUAACAAGUAUCAAUUGGAGGGCAAGUCUGGUGCCAGCAGCCGCGGUUAAUUCCAGCUCCAAUAGCGUAUAUUAAAGUUGUUGCAGUUAAAAAGCUCGUAGU